RNAcentral lists this ribosomal RNA (255 nucleotides) under uncultured Methanolinea sp. RNAcentral describes it as "partial 16S ribosomal RNA". It matches the Rfam family "Archaeal small subunit ribosomal RNA", at positions 1090 to 1334 of the family's 1478-position model. Lineage: Archaea; Methanobacteriati; Methanobacteriota; Methanomicrobia; Methanomicrobiales; Methanoregulaceae. The record is from RNAcentral.
GGGACACUGUUGGGACCGCCUCUGGCUAAAGGAGGAGGAAGGAAUGGGCAACGGUAGGUCAGCAUGCCCCGAAUUUAUCCGGGCUACACGCGGGCUACAAUGGUCAGGACAAUGGGCAUCAACACCGAAAGGUGAAGGCAAUACUCUUAAACCUGUCCUUAGUUCGGAUUGUGGGCUGCAACUCGCCCACAUGAAGCUGGAAUCUGUAGUAAUCGCGUCUCAAAAUGGCGCGGUGAAUAUGUCCCUGCCGUCCUU